CGAAGCUUUGCUUUGUAUCUUUACCUUCAUGUUAGGUUAAAAGCAUCAACUCUGAUUUGAACUCUCUGAGGGCUGCAAUUGAUUGAACAAAGAGCGACCUGACCGCAAAAUUGGAUGGGACUGUAUCAACGAUUGAAAACUUCAAGUCUGAUUUGAACGAUAUGAAGGCUGCAGUAGAUGGAACAAAGAACAACUUUACCGAUUUGAACGGUACUGUAACAAAGGAGACUGGAGACAAGCAACUGGCAAUUAAGGGCUCAUGCGCCUCUAACGCCUUUACGCUCAUGCUAAAAGUCAAGUUUAUAUCAUCCUGAAAGCUCAACAAAGCUUUUCAAAGUAACUUAUGCGAGUCGUGCCAGAAUGUGACCAGGAACUCAGCCUACGAGGAAUGCAAAUCUAAAUGUUGCUGUGGAGCAAAUUCUUCCGAAGACGUAAAAACACCUAAGUGUUCUUCUAAAUCAAAACUGGUCUUGGGUUGAUUGUACUAAGGAAUUUGCAUGUACAGCGAUGCUCAAAAAAGUUUUUGCUUAGCAAGCAAGAUGUGUAGCUAGUAGGGACCGGUCAUAUUUAUCUCCUUCGGGGGAGGGGAGGGAGGUGGAAGGGUUUUGGUUAUGACAUGAUGAUUUUUAUUUGAGCACCUCCCCCCCUCCCGCGGUGAAGUGUGUUCUUGAGCCUAUUUGCCAUGAUGAUUUUUAUUUGAUUCGAUGGGUGAAUUUUUAUUUGACCAUCAGCUGGAGCUUAUACUGGUUUCCAUGUUGUAUGAAGUGAAGAGGGGUAUAAGCACU
Stylophora pistillata is the source of this 785-nucleotide long non-coding RNA. NCBI's taxonomy places the organism in Eukaryota, Metazoa, Cnidaria, Anthozoa, Scleractinia, Pocilloporidae. The record is from RefSeq and is a predicted model, not a curated record.